Molecule: non-coding RNA, 71 nt
Organism: Parelaphostrongylus tenuis
Lineage: Eukaryota; Metazoa; Nematoda; Chromadorea; Rhabditida; Metastrongylidae
Source: the annotation of a GenBank genome assembly
ACGUCGGUGGUGCAACGGUUUAGCCAUGCUCCCGGAAAGAGUAGAUACGGGUUCGAAUCCCGGCUGACGCG